GAUGAACGCUGGCGGCGUGCCUAAUACAUGCCAGUCGAGCGAACAGACGAGGAGCUUGCUCCUCUGACGUUAGCGGCGGACGGGUGAGUAACACGUGGAUAACCUACCUAUAAGACUGGGAUAACUUCGGGAAACCGGAGCUAAUACCGGAUAAUAUAUUGAACCGCAUGGUUCAAUAGUGAAAGACGGUUUUGCUGUCACUUAUAGAUGGAUCCGCGCCGCAUUAGCUAGUUGGUAAGGUAACGGCUUACCAAGGCGACGAUGCGUAGCCGACCUGAGAGGGUGUUCGGCCACACUGGAACUGAGACACGGUCCAGACUCCUACGGGAGGCAGCAGUAGGGAAUCUUCCGCAAUGGGCGAAAGCCUGACGGAGCAACGCCGCGUGAGUGAUGAAGGUCUUCGGAUCGUAAAACUCUGUUAUUAGGGAAGAACAAAUGUGUAAGUAACUAUGCACGUCUUGACGGUACCUAAUCAGAAAGCCACGGCUAACUACGUG
Molecule: ribosomal RNA, 497 nt
Filed under: uncultured bacterium
Lineage: Bacteria
Description: partial 16S ribosomal RNA
Rfam family: Bacterial small subunit ribosomal RNA
Source: RNAcentral